UUUGUGGUUUGUGUUUUAGGUUUUCAUUUGCAAGAAAUGUAUAUGAUAAUGAUUUUUUUUUAUAAAGUUUUAAGUGAGUAGAGAUUAUAUGUGAUAAUAUAUAUUUUGCUUGUUUACAAUAAUUUUUUUUAUAUCAAAGAGUUGUGGCAUUUAUAUGUUGUGAGAGUUUUAAAUGGUCUUCAUAUUGUUUCUUUUUACAAAAAUUUGAUUUUAUAUUCGGUGUGUUAUUUGUGGCGCAGCGUGUAAUAUUUUGGAUUCAGAAGGAUUGGAUUGUGGGUAAUUUUGUGUAUGUUAUAAGAGUAAUUACUUUUAUGUUGAAAACAAAGUCAUCCGACAUGUUAUUGGAGUGGAAUUGGUGAUUAUUUGAAGUUGCAUUUCUUAGUAAAAGUAGAAUGUUAUAUUGAGUGCGAAGAAGGUAAUGCAAAGAAGGUAAAACAAAGUAACCAAAAUAAGAAAACAUUGAAACUAUAAAGUGUGAAAACUGAGUAGUGGCCGAUGAGUUUAUAUUAAUAACAUUAAUCGAUGCAUCGAUUUUUCAGAUUAUUGAGAUGGCGCUUUUUGGUGGAAUUAUAAAGAUCAUAUUUGUUCCAUAACACUUCUUUUUUUAAUAUAGAGACUUUGCAUAAGUAAUGUUUUAUCUAUCUCAAAAUUUGACAGCUCCAGAUAUGUUGGUUUACCGUUCACGACGAUCCAUAGAUUUCAUGCAUUCUUCAUGUUCUCCUGUGCAUAG
This 730-nucleotide long non-coding RNA is filed under the name Brassica napus (rape). Its description in RNAcentral is "long non-coding RNA (BNAP_LNC015133)". Lineage: Eukaryota; Viridiplantae; Streptophyta; Magnoliopsida; Brassicales; Brassicaceae. The record is from RNAcentral.